RNAcentral lists this ribosomal RNA (730 nucleotides) under uncultured bacterium. RNAcentral's name for it is "bacterial SSU rRNA". It matches the Rfam family "Bacterial small subunit ribosomal RNA", at positions 771 to 1501 of the family's 1533-position model. The record is from RNAcentral.
AACAGGAUUAGAUACCCUGGUAGUCCACGCCGUAAACGAUGUCGACUUGGAGGUUGUGCCCUUGAGGCGUGGCUUCCGGAGCUAACGCGUUAAGUCGACCGCCUGGGGAGUACGGCCGCAAGGUUAAAACUCAAAUGAAUUGACGGGGGCCCGCACAAGCGGUGGAGCAUGUGGUUUAAUUCGAUGCAACGCGAAGAACCUUACCUACUCUUGACAUCCGGAGAACUUAGCAGAGAUGCUUUGGUGCCUUCGGGAACUCUGAGACAGGUGCUGCAUGGCUGUCGUCAGCUCGUGUUGUGGAAUGUUGGGUUAAGUCCCGCAACGAGCGCAACCCUUAUCCUUUGUUGCCAGCGGUUAGGCCGGGAACUCAAAGGAGACUGCCAGUGAUAAACUGGAGGAAGGUGGGGAUGACGUCAGGUCAUCAUGGCCCUUACGAGUAGGGCUACACACGUGCUACAAUGGCAUAUACAAAGAGAAGCGACCUCGCGAGAGCAAGCGGACCUCAUAAAGUAUGUCGUAGUCCGGAUUGGAGUCUGCAACUCGGCUCCAUGAAGUCGGAAUCGCUAGUAAUCGUGGAUCAGAAUGCCACGGUGAAUACGUUCCCGGGCCUUGUACACACCGCCCGUCACACCAUGGGAGUGGGUUGCAAAAGAAGUAGGUAGCUUAACCUUCGGGAGGGCGCUUACCACUUUGUGAUUCAUGACUGGGGUGAAGUCGUAACAAGGUAACC